GGGUCAGUAGGUUGGUCGUGCCACCGGUACGUACUGGUCUCACUGAUUCCUCCUUCCUGAAGAACCGUAAUGCCAUUAAUUUGGUGUUGCGGGGAAACAGGACUGUUACUUUGAAAAAAUUAGAGUGUUUAAAACAAGCUAACGCUUGAAUACAUUAGCAUGGAAUAAUGAAAUAGGACGAUCGAUCCUAUUUUGUUGGUUUCUAGGAUUGACGUA
This 216-nucleotide ribosomal RNA is filed under the name Glomeromycotina sp. RNAcentral describes it as "partial small subunit ribosomal RNA". The stretch from base 40 to 216 matches the Rfam family "Eukaryotic small subunit ribosomal RNA", at positions 686 to 864 of the family's 1831-position model. Lineage: Eukaryota; Fungi; Glomeromycota. The record is from RNAcentral.